This 471-nucleotide long non-coding RNA is filed under the name Mytilus galloprovincialis (Mediterranean mussel). Lineage: Eukaryota; Metazoa; Mollusca; Bivalvia; Mytilida; Mytilidae. The record is from RNAcentral.
GCAACUAUAGUGAAAUCCCUUAAUUUAUAUAUUUUUGUCAGAUCCCUCAAAAUGUUAAAGCACAAACCUGUGACAAGAAGUUCUUAAAUUUAGGAAACAUUUUCGUAGAUAUUUGUUUUCAUGGUUUUGCGAGUCUGCAUACAAGCCUAUAGAAAAUUAGUAAUUCAUUGAACAUUUAGAUUUAUGUUACACCUGUUACCACAAAAAUAGGUAUCCAACCAACCCUUAUAAAUAUACAGUAAUCUGUCGUUUCCAAAUCUAAUGCAUCCUGGGUAAUAUUUUGAAAAGUGUACACCAAAACGUGAUGAUUGGUUAAAGAUGUCAUAAGCAAGGAAAUUUAACCAAUAACGUGAUGUUAUUUUCAUUUAGGGGUACGAACAAUGAAAAAUACCCAUGGUUCUUUAGAUUCCAAAACGGCCAAUUGUGAUGAAUUGCAAAAAGUUUAUAUUAUGACCCAAUUUUCACCUCGGU